ACAAACAUCCCAUAGAUUGUCUAGAGAGCUGGGCUCAAGGAGAACCCAGCCAAGGGCACUCCAUUUCCCUACAUAGAGAGGCCAGAGAGUCAGACCCACCUAAGUAGAUCAGCAUUCCACAUGGUUCAUUGAACAUAAUCCAAAAGUCCGGCUAUAAUGGGUGGAGCUGUUCUUCUCCAUGUGCAAGCUGGUGCUGGCAGACCAACUCACAAUCGUCAGGGUCAACCUCGAAGAGAAGGCCUUUACCUAUAUCAAAAGGACGAACAACCAGGAGAUGCCCAAAAAUUAUGAGGAC
This 295-nucleotide long non-coding RNA is filed under the name Spirodela polyrhiza (greater duckweed). RNAcentral describes it as "long non-coding RNA (SPOL_LNC002521)". The record is from RNAcentral. Lineage: Eukaryota; Viridiplantae; Streptophyta; Magnoliopsida; Alismatales; Araceae.